RNAcentral lists this ribosomal RNA (478 nucleotides) under uncultured bacterium. RNAcentral describes it as "partial 16S ribosomal RNA". It matches the Rfam family "Bacterial small subunit ribosomal RNA", at positions 28 to 523 of the family's 1533-position model. The record is from RNAcentral.
GACGAACGCUGGCGGCGUGCUUAACACAUGCAAGUCGAACGGUAAGGCCCUUCGGGGUACACGAGUGGCGAACGGGUGAGUAACACGUGGGUGAUCUGCCCUGCACUUCGGGAUAAGCCUGGGAAACUGGGUCUAAUACCGGAUAGGACCACUGCCUGCAUGGGUGGUGGUGGAAAGCUUUUGCGGGGUGGGAUGGGCCCGCGGCCUAUCAGCUUGUUGGUGGGGUGAUGGCCUACCAAGGCGACGACGGGUAGUCGGCCUGAGAGGGUGACCGGACACACUGGGACUGAGAUACGGCCCAGACUCCUACGGGAGGCAGCAGUGGGGAAUAUUGCACAAUGGGCGCAAGCCGGAUGCAGCGACGCCGCGUGAGGGAUGACGGCCUUCGGGUUGUAAACCUCUUUCAGCACCGACGAAGCGCAAGUGACGGUAGGUGCAGAAGAAGGACCGGCCAACUACGUGCCAGCCGCCGCGGUAA